UACAGAGACUGCAAGCGUUAUUCGGAUUCACUGGGCGUAAAGGGUGCGCAGGCGGUUUUGUGUGUCAGGUGUGAAAGCCCGGAGCUUAACUCCGGAAUUGCGCCUGAAACUACAGAACUAGAGCAUUGGAGAGGGUAGCGGAAUUCACGGUGUAGCAGUGAAAUGCGUAGAUAUCGUGAGGAACACCAGAGGCGAAGGCGGCUACCUGGACAAUUGCUGACGCUCAGGCACGAAAGCGUGGGGAG
This 245-nucleotide ribosomal RNA is filed under the name uncultured bacterium. Its description in RNAcentral is "partial 16S ribosomal RNA". It matches the Rfam family "Bacterial small subunit ribosomal RNA", at positions 524 to 768 of the family's 1533-position model. The record is from RNAcentral.